Numida meleagris (helmeted guineafowl) is the source of this 1611-nucleotide long non-coding RNA. Lineage: Eukaryota; Metazoa; Chordata; Aves; Galliformes; Numididae. The record is from Ensembl.
AUGAGCAACAAACAGGAGGAGCUCGAAGCCUUCGUGCAGCAGGCAAACUAUGACUUAGUUUCCAUUACGGAAACAUGGUGGGAUCGCUCCCAUGACUGGAGUGCUGCGAUGGAUAUCUACAAGCUCUUCAGAAAGGAUAGGCAAGGAAGGAGGGGUGGUGGCGUGGCUCUCUAUGUUAGAGACUGUUUUGAUGUUAUUGAGCUUGCAACUGGGGAAGAUAACAUUGAAUCUCUAUGGGUUAGGAUCAAAGGAAAGGCUGACAAGGCAGACAUCCUGGUGGAGUUCUGUUAUAGACCACCUAACCUGGAUGAAGAGACAGAUGAGGCAUUCUAUAAACAGCUGGCUGAAGUUGAACGAUCGCCAACCCUUGUCCUCAUGGGGGACUUCAACUUCCCUGAUAUAUGCUGGGAAUACAACACGGCACAGAAGAAGCAGUCUGGGAGGUUUCUAGAGUGUAUGGAAGAUAACUUCCUUCUGCAGCUGGUGAGAGAACCUACCAGGGGAGGUGCCCUGCUAGACCUGCUGUUUACAAACAGGGAAGAUCUGGUGGGAGAUGUGGAAGUUGGAGGCUGCCUUGGACAGAGCAACCAUGAAAUGGUAGAGUUCUCGAUUCUUGGUGGAACCAGGAGAGGGGACAGCAAAACUGCUAUCUUGGAAUUUUGGAGGGCAGACUUUGAAUUGUUCAGGAAACUGGUAGGGAGGGUCCCUUGGGAUUCGGUCUUGGAGGGUAAAGGGGUCCAGGAAGGCUGGUUGCUCCUCAAGAAGGAAGUCCUGAAGGCGCAGGAACAGGCUGUCCCCCUGAGCUGCAAGAUGAGCCGGCCGGGAAGGAGACCGGCAUGGAUGAACAGGGAGCUUUUCCUGAGGCACUACAUCCUGUGGAAGAAGGGACAGGCAACUCGGAAAGAGUACAAAGAGGUUGUUAGGAUGUGCAGGGAGAAAAUUAGAAAGGCAAAGGCCCAGCUCAAACUAAGCUUGGCUGCUGGGAUAAAAGGGAACAAGAAACUCUUCUACAGAUAUAUUAACAGUAAGAGGAGGACCAAGGAGAAUCUCCAUUGCUUACUGGGUGCGGCUGGGAAUGUGGCCACUGAGGACAAGGAAAAGGCUGAGGUUCUCAAUGCCUUUUUUACGUCUGUCUUUAAAAGCCAGACCAGUUAUCCUCAGAGUACUCUACUCCCUGACCUGGAAGUCUCAGAUGGGGACUGGAAUAAACCCCCCAUGAUUCAGAAGGAAAUGGUCAGAGACCUACUACUCCACCUGGACUGCCACAAGUCCAUGGGGCCGGACGAGAUCCACCCAAGAGUACUGAGGGAGCUGGUGGAGGAGAUAGCCAAGCCGCUUUCCAUCAUCUAUCGGCAUUCCUGGUCAACUGGAGAGGUCCCAGAAGACUGGAAACUUGCCAGUGUGACUCCCAUCUACAAGAAGGGUCAUAAGGAGGAUCCGGGGAACUACAGGCCUGUCAGCCUGACCUCGGUGUCAGGGAAGGUUAUGGAGCAGAUUGUCCUGAGGGAGAUCAUGCGGCAUUUGCAGGACAACCAGGGGACCAGGCGCAGCCAGCAUGGGUUUGUGAAGGGCAGGUCCUGCUUGACCAACCUGAUCUCCUUUUAUGAUUGA